AGAUACCCCCGUAGUCCCAGCCGUAAACUAUGCGCGUUAGGUGUAUCGGUGACCACGAGUCACCGAGGUGCCGAAGGGAAACCGUGAAACGUGCCGCCUGGGAAGUACGGUCGCAAGGCUGAAACUUAAAGGAAUUGGCGGGGAGCACCACAACGGGUGGAGCCUGCGGUUUAAUUGGACUCAACGCCGGGAAGCUCACCGGAUAAGACAGCGGAAUGAUUGCCGGGCUGAAGACUCUGCAUGACUAGCUG
RNAcentral lists this ribosomal RNA (251 nucleotides) under uncultured archaeon. RNAcentral's name for it is "partial 16S ribosomal RNA". It matches the Rfam family "Archaeal small subunit ribosomal RNA", at positions 731 to 982 of the family's 1478-position model. The record is from RNAcentral.